AGCGAACGCUGGCGGCAGGCUUAACACAUGCAAGUCGAGCGGGCACUUUCGGGUGUCAGCGGCGGACGGGUGAGUAACGCGUGGGAACGUGCCCUCUGGUUCGGAAUAACUCAGGGAAACUUGAGCUAAUACCGGAUACGCCCUUUUGGGGAAAGGCUUGCUGCCGGAGGAUCGGCCCGCGUCUGAUUAGCUAGUUGGUGAGGUAACGGCUCACCAAGGCGACGAUCAGUAGCUGGUCUGAGAGGAUGAUCAGCCACACUGGGACUGAGACACGGCCCAGACUCCUACGGGAGGCAGCAGUGGGGAAUAUUGGACAAUGGGCGCAAGCCUGAUCCAGCCAUGCCGCGUGAGUGAUGAAGGCCUUAGGGUUGUAAAGCUCUUUUAUCCGGGACGAUAAUGACGGUACCGGAGGAAUAAGCCCCGGCUAACUCCGUG
RNAcentral lists this ribosomal RNA (435 nucleotides) under uncultured bacterium. RNAcentral's name for it is "partial 16S ribosomal RNA". It matches the Rfam family "Bacterial small subunit ribosomal RNA", at positions 29 to 507 of the family's 1533-position model. The record is from RNAcentral.